This 253-nucleotide ribosomal RNA is filed under the name uncultured bacterium. Its description in RNAcentral is "partial 16S ribosomal RNA". It matches the Rfam family "Bacterial small subunit ribosomal RNA", at positions 524 to 776 of the family's 1533-position model. The record is from RNAcentral.
UACGAAGGGGGCUAGCGUUGCUCGGAAUGACUGGGCGUAAAGGGCGCGUAGGCGGCCCUGCAAGUCAGGCGUGAAAUUCCCGGGCUCAACCUGGGGGCUGCGCUUGAGACUGUGGGGCUAGAGGCCGAGAGAGGGUGGUGGAAUUCCCAGUGUAGAGGUGAAAUUCGUAGAUAUUGGGAAGAACACCGGUGGCGAAGGCGGCCACCUGGCUCGGUUCUGACGCUGAGGCGCGACAGCGUGGGGAGCAAACAGG